GGGCCUCAAAUCAGACAAGAGUACCCGCUGAACUUAGGCAUAUCRAUAAGCGGAGGA
This 57-nucleotide ribosomal RNA is filed under the name uncultured Paraglomus. Its description in RNAcentral is "partial 26S ribosomal RNA". The record is from RNAcentral. Lineage: Eukaryota; Fungi; Glomeromycota; Glomeromycetes; Paraglomerales; Paraglomeraceae.